Myotis davidii is the source of this 73-nucleotide non-coding RNA. Lineage: Eukaryota; Metazoa; Chordata; Mammalia; Chiroptera; Vespertilionidae. The record is from Rfam.
GCUGGUGUGGCUCAGUGGAUGGAGCGUCGGCCUGUGGACUGAAGGGUUCCGGGUUCGAUUCCGGUCAAUGGCA